RNAcentral lists this ribosomal RNA (547 nucleotides) under uncultured Nitrospina sp. RNAcentral describes it as "bacterial SSU rRNA". It matches the Rfam family "Bacterial small subunit ribosomal RNA", at positions 355 to 915 of the family's 1533-position model. Lineage: Bacteria; Pseudomonadati; Nitrospinota; Nitrospinia; Nitrospinales; Nitrospinaceae. The record is from RNAcentral.
UGGGGAAUUUUGCGCAAUGGGCGAGAGCCUGACGCAGCAACGCCGCGUGAGCGAUGAAGGNCUUCGGGUCGUAAAGCUCUGUCGGGUGGGAAGAACAAAAUGACGGUACCACCAACUGAAGCCCCGGCUAACUGUGUGCCAGCAGCCGCGGUAACACGGAGGGGGCGAGCGUUGUUCGGAAUCAUUGGGCGUAAAGCGUAUGUAGGUGGCCGGAUAAGUCCUACGUGUAGCCCCACGGCUCAACCGUGCUAUUGCGUUUGAUGCUAUUCGGCUUGAGUGCAGAAGAGGAAAGCGGAAUUUCCAGUGUAGCGGUGAAAUGCGUUGAUAUUGGGAAGAACACCAGUGGCGAAGGCGGCUUUCUGGUCUCGAACUGACACUGCUGUACGAAAGCCAGGACAGCGAACGUCAUUAGAUAGUCCUGGGAGUCCAGGCUGUAUACGAUGGGCAGAAGGUGUAGGAGGGGUUGAUCCCUUCUGUGCCGUAGCUAACGCAUUAAGUGCUGCGCCUCGGGAGUACGGUCGCAAGGCUGAAACUCGAGGUAUUGACG